This is a long non-coding RNA of Cucurbita pepo subsp. pepo (vegetable marrow), 391 nucleotides long. RefSeq lists it as uncharacterized. The record is from RefSeq and is a predicted model, not a curated record. Lineage: Eukaryota; Viridiplantae; Streptophyta; Magnoliopsida; Cucurbitales; Cucurbitaceae.
UAGAGUUUGCAAAUUGGUAAGGAAAAGAAACAUGAAUUCCAAGUCCAUUUCAACCAUGAUGGUUCUUCUUGUUUUCCUUCUUCUCUGUGGAAAAGACAUGAUGGUGAGGAGUGUGGAUGGGAGGAUAUGCCAGAGGGUGUUGCCAAUAUCCACAUACCAGGUAUGCUACGAUGAAUACUGCAUGAGGCUAUGCCGAGGUCAGCUUGGACCCGAUGCCGAUGGACUUUGUUUGGGCGUUUACACAUGUAACUGCACAUAUCCUUGUUGAUCUUGUUCCUUCCCAAUCUCUCCUUCUAAGAAUUUGAUGCUUAAGACCACAGCAGCUGUUUAGUUAUGUAUCGACAUAUUAUGGAAUUUCAUUCGAAUAAACGAGGGUUGUAUUACAGUGUUA